Molecule: ribosomal RNA, 253 nt
Filed under: uncultured bacterium
Lineage: Bacteria
Description: partial 16S ribosomal RNA
Rfam family: Bacterial small subunit ribosomal RNA
Source: RNAcentral
UACGUAUGGUGCAAGCGUUAUCCGGAUUUACUGGGCGUAAAGGGAGCGCAGGCGGUGCGCCAAGUCUGAUGUGAAACCCCGGGGCUCAACCCCGGUCAUGCAUUGGAAACUGGCGGGCUGGAGUGCCGGAGAGGUAAGCGGAAUUCCUAGUGUAGCGGUGAAAUGCGUAGAUAUUAGGAGGAACACCAGUGGCGAAGGCGGCUUACUGGACGGCAACUGACGCUGAGGCUCGAAAGCGUGGGGAGCAAACAGG